UACGUAGGGUGCGAGCGUUAAUCGGAAUUACUGGGCGUAAAGCGUGCGCAGGCGGUUCGUUGUGUCGGUGGUGAAAGCCCCGGGCUCAACCUGGGAAUGGCCAUGGAAACUGGCGAACUGGAGUGUGGCAGAGGGGGGUGGAAUUCCGCGUGUAGCAGUGAAAUGCGUAGAUAUGCGGAGGAACACCGAUGGCGAAGGCAAUCCCCUGGACCUGUACUGACGCCCAUGCACGAAAGCGUGGGGAGCAAACAGG
Molecule: ribosomal RNA, 253 nt
Filed under: uncultured bacterium
Lineage: Bacteria
Description: partial 16S ribosomal RNA
Rfam family: Bacterial small subunit ribosomal RNA
Source: RNAcentral